RNAcentral lists this ribosomal RNA (253 nucleotides) under uncultured bacterium. RNAcentral's name for it is "partial 16S ribosomal RNA". It matches the Rfam family "Bacterial small subunit ribosomal RNA", at positions 524 to 776 of the family's 1533-position model. The record is from RNAcentral.
UACGUAGGGCGCAAGCGUUGUCCGGAAUUAUUGGGCGUAAAGAGCUCGUAGGCGGUUUGUCGCGUCUGCUGUGAAAACCUAAGGCUCAACCUUGGGCUUGCAGUGGGUACGGGCGGGCUAGAGUUCGGUAGGGGAGACUGGAAUUCCUGGUGUAGCGGUGAAAUGCGCAGAUAUCAGGAGGAACACCGGUGGCGAAGGCGGGUCUCUGGGCCGAUACUGACGCUGAGGAGCGAAAGCGUGGGGAGCAAACAGG